GGAUGUGAGGGUGAUUUGGCUGCAACACCCAUCACCCCAUUAGUUGACAGAAUUGAUUCUGUUAAUCUGGCUGGCUAGGUCAUGUCCCCUUCCUCCCUCUCUGCUCCUUAUGUGUCCUUCCCAAGCCUGCACUCAGUCGAAGAGGAUGGCCUUCCCUGAUAUUGGAGGAUUGUUCUUUGGUCAAGGGUAUAUGGGUAGCUGUGCUCCCCUGCUAGAACCUACAAAUAAGCUCUUGAGGUCCAUUUGUAGAAGAAUGUAGGGUAGUCAGGUUUCCAAGACUCCAGACCCAUCCAGAUGAGGUGCUACAUUU
Non-coding RNA from Canis lupus familiaris (dog), 310 nucleotides. The record is from Rfam. NCBI's taxonomy places the organism in Eukaryota, Metazoa, Chordata, Mammalia, Carnivora, Canidae.